This 468-nucleotide ribosomal RNA is filed under the name uncultured bacterium. RNAcentral's name for it is "partial 16S ribosomal RNA". It matches the Rfam family "Bacterial small subunit ribosomal RNA", at positions 28 to 507 of the family's 1533-position model. The record is from RNAcentral.
GACGAACGCUGGCGGCGUGCUUAACACAUGCAAGUCGAACGGUGAAGCUCCAGCUUGCUGGAGUGGAUCAGUGGCGAACGGGUGAGUAACACGUGAGCAACCUGCCCCUGACUCUGGAAUAAGCGCUGGAAACGGCGUCUAAUACUGGAUACGAGAAGGGUCCGCAUGGGCACUUUCUGGAAAGUUUUUCGGUUGGGGAUGGGCUCGCGGCCUAUCAGCUUGUUGGUGAGGUAAUGGCUCACCAAGGCGACGACGGGUAGCCGGCCUGAGAGGGCGACCGGCCACACUGGGACUGAGACACGGCCCAGACUCCUACGGGAGGUAGCAGUGGGGAAUAUUGCACAAUGGGCGAAAGCCUGAUGCAGCGGCGCCGCGUGAGGGAUGACGGCCUUCGGGUUGUAAACCUCUUUCAGCAGGGAAGAAGCGAAAGUGACGGUACCUGCAGAAGAAGCACCGGCUAACUACGUG